This 921-nucleotide ribosomal RNA is filed under the name uncultured eukaryote. RNAcentral's name for it is "SSU rRNA". It matches the Rfam family "Eukaryotic small subunit ribosomal RNA", at positions 521 to 1470 of the family's 1831-position model. The record is from RNAcentral.
CUCACUAUAGGCGAUGGAUUAGCGCCGCGAUCGCCCUUGUGCCAGCAGCCGCGGUAAUUCCAGCUCCAAUAGCGUAUAUUAAAGUUGUUGUGGUUAAAAAGCUCGUAGUUGGAUCUCGGCGGACUGAGGGCGGUUUGCUUGCUAGUAUUACUGCCCUAUAGUCCGUAGUUUUGCCAGAGGUUUCGGGGUGCUCUUAAUCGAGUGUCCCGGGAUGCUGGCAGGUUUACUUUGAAAAAAUUAGAGUGCUCAAAGCAGGCUAUUACGCCUGAAUAUUCGUGCAUGGAAUAAUAGAAUAGGAAGUCGUUUCUAUUUUGUUGGUUUUCGGAAAUCGACUUAAUGAUUAAUAGGGACAGUCGGGGGCAUUUGUAUUCAAACGACAGAGGUGAAAUUCUUGGACCGUUUGAAGACAAACUACUGCGAAAGCAUUUGCCAAGAAUGUUUUCAUUAAUCAAGAACGAAAGUUAAAGGUUCGAAGGCGAUUAGAUACCGCCCUAGUUUUAACCAUAAACGAUGCCAGCUAGCGAUCUGCGGACGUUUUUUUUGUAGACUCCGCAGGAAGCUUCCGGGAAACCAAAGCAUUUGGGUUCCAGGGGAAGUAUGGUUGCAAAGCUGAAACUUAAAGGAAUUGACGGAAGGGCACCACCAGGAGUGGAGCCUGUGGCUUAAUUUGACUCAACACGGGAAAUCUCACCAGGCCCGGACACUGGAAGGAUUGACAGAUUGAUAGCUCUUUCUUGAUUCGGUGGGUGGUGGUGCAUGGCCGUUCUUAGUUGGUGGAGUGAUUUGUCUGGUUAAUUCCGAUAACGAACGAGACUCUGUCCUGCUAAAUAGUGUCUGCUUCUCUUUUGAGCAGACAAUUCUUCUUAGAGGGACUGGCGACUCUUAGUCGCACGAGAUUGAGCAAUAACAGGUCUGUGAUGC